GCUGGGCCGGGUGGUGCAUCCCUGUAGUCUCAGCUGCUCAGGAGGCUGAGGUGGGAGGAUGGCUUGAGUCCAGGAGUUCUGGGAUGCAGUGCACUAUGCUGAUUGGUAUCUAUACUAAGUUUGGCAUCACUAUGGUGACCUCCCGGGAGGGGACUACCAGGGUGCCUAAGGAGGGGUGAACCGACCCAGGUCAGAAAUGGAGCAGGUCAAGUGUGAUAACCUCAGGGAAAUGGAACAAAGAGAAAACAGUACAGCCAUUUCAACUGUUAUCUACUUUACCUUGCAAUUAUUUCAACUUUU
Non-coding RNA from Fukomys damarensis (Damara mole-rat), 300 nucleotides. NCBI's taxonomy places the organism in Eukaryota, Metazoa, Chordata, Mammalia, Rodentia, Bathyergidae. The record is from Rfam.